RNAcentral lists this ribosomal RNA (253 nucleotides) under uncultured bacterium. RNAcentral's name for it is "partial 16S ribosomal RNA". It matches the Rfam family "Bacterial small subunit ribosomal RNA", at positions 524 to 776 of the family's 1533-position model. The record is from RNAcentral.
UACGUAGGGUGCGAGCGUUAAUCGGAAUUACUGGGCGUAAAGCGUGCGCAGGCGGUUGGCCAAGUCAGCUGUGAAAGCCCCGGGCUCAACCUGGGAAUGGCGGUUGAAACUAGUCGACUCGAAUCUGGCAGAGGGGGGUGGAAUUCCACGUGUAGCAGUGAAAUGCGUAGAUAUCUGGAGGAACACCGGUGGCGAAGGCGGCAUCCUGGACCGGCAUUGACGCUGAGGCGCGAAAGCCAGGGGAGCAAACGGG